RNAcentral lists this ribosomal RNA (247 nucleotides) under uncultured bacterium. Its description in RNAcentral is "partial 16S ribosomal RNA". It matches the Rfam family "Bacterial small subunit ribosomal RNA", at positions 87 to 334 of the family's 1533-position model. The record is from RNAcentral.
GUACACGAGCGGCGAACGGGUGAGUAACACGUGAGCAAUCUGCCCUCCACAUCGGGAUAACCCCCGGAAACGGGAGCUAAUACCGGAUACGACCACUUCAGGCAUCUGAUGGUGGUGGAAAGUUCCGGCGGUGGAGGAUGAGCUCGCGGCCUAUCAGCUUGUUGGUGGGGUAACGGCCCACCAAGGCUACGACGGGUAGCCGGCCUGAGAGGGUGACCGGCCACACUGGGACUGAGACACGGCCCAG